AGAGUUUGAUCCUGGCUCAGGAUGAAUGCUGGCGGCGCGCCUAACACAUGCAAGUCGAGCGGUAACAGGGGUAAUUUAUUACCUGCUGACGAGCGGCGGACGGCUGAGUAACGCGUGGGAACAUGCCCCAAAGUGAGGAAUAACUGCCCGAAAGGGUGGCUAAUGCCGCAUAUGAUCUUCGGAUUAAAGGAUUUAUCCGCUUUGGGAGUGGCCCGCGUUCGAUUAGGUAGUUGGUGAGGUAAAGGCUCACCAAGCCUACGAUCGAUAACUGGUCUGAGAGGAUGAUCAGUCAGACUGGAACUGAGAUACGGUCCAGACUCCUACGGGAGGCAGCAGUGAGGAAUCUUCCCACAUGGGCGAAAGCCUGAUGGAGCGACGCCGCGUGCAGGAUGAAGGCCUUCGGGUUGUAAACUGCUUUUAUAAGUGAAGAAUAUGACGGUAACUUAUGAAUAAGCACCGGCUAACUACGUGCCAGCAGCCGCGGUCAUACGUAGGGUGCAAGCAUUAUCCGGAGUGACUGGGCGUAAAGAGUUGCGUAGGUGGUUAGUAAAGCGAAUAGUGAAACCUGUCGGCUCAACCGACAGACUAUUAUUCGAACUCACUAACUCGAGAAUGGUAGAGGUAACUGGAAUUUCUAGUGUAGGAGUGAAAUCCGUAGAUAUUAGAAGGAACACCAAUGGCGUAGGCAG
Molecule: ribosomal RNA, 689 nt
Filed under: uncultured bacterium
Lineage: Bacteria
Description: bacterial SSU rRNA
Rfam family: Bacterial small subunit ribosomal RNA
Source: RNAcentral